AUGUCCUUGGAUUCAGACGAGGAGGCGUCGGCAGUGCCCGAGGGCGGGGCGGAGAAAGCCAAGACGCCACUGCCUCCCCCGCCCCGGUGCGAGGAGUUUCGGCCCCCUCUCCCUGACCUGUCGGGCCGGGACCCCCUCUCUUCUUUCCCCGGCCGGAGUCAGAGCUCCUACCCUGUGGACUACAACGCGCUCAAGACCGCAAUCUCGCAGUACAAGGCCUCCAGGCAGGGCGGCGCGCCCACGGCCGAGGUGGACGACGGCCUGACCAGCUUCGGGGUCAACCCCCACCAGAGCUACCUGUACCCCAGCACGGCGCAGUGGAGCCCCUACCCCGCCUCCCCCGGCUACCACGUGGCCUCGGCCUACUCCUCGCCAGCCUGCUCGGCCUCGCAGGGCCCGGAAUACGCACAGCUGGGCACCCCAACCGUAAACCAGACCGGCACUCCUCCGCUCUCGUUGCCCCCUGCCCUGCCUCAGGCCAACCCCAGCACUCUGAUCCCUACGAUCCCCUCCACACAGCCCCCCCCGAACCCCGCUACCCUGGCCCCCGCCAACCCCUCUGCGCCUCCCGUGCCGCAGGUUUCUGGCGGUGCAGCGGAUGCCCUGCCUGCUCUGGAGGCUCCGCCUUGCCCUCAGCCCUCAGCACAGGCUCCGCCCCUGCCUGGCGACUCCGCUGCUGUAGCCUCAGGCGGCGCCGUGGGUCACGUGGCACCGUCUGGCUCUCAGGAUGUGCAGGGUAAAGCCAUGGAGUCUGCUCCCCUCGCGUCCCCUUCCUCUUCGUCCUCGUCGUCUCUGCCCGGAACGCUGCCGGGCUUCCCGGACCCCCCCGUGUUCCCCGCUCUCACGCCCAUCCCGCCCGUGCCGCCCAUGUUCAACUGGGCGGCGGCUCAGCACGGCUACGCGCCCGGGGUGAGCGUGGGGCAUUUCAGCACCCUCCCCCCCGCGCAGAGCGAAGCCGCAGGGAAGCCGGCCGCCCCGGGCUCGGCCGACGGACCGUGGGCGGCACCCGGCGAGGGUUCCACCCCCGGCGGUCAGGCGGAGGGGGGCACGGCCGUCGCGGCGCCCGGCCCGGCCCCUUUCCAGGAGGCGGGGUCGGAGAAGAGCGGCACGCCUGGGAAUCUGACGCCCAGCAGCCAGGGCAGCAGGACUCCAGUGAACUCAUGCGCAGAGAACAAAGGAGGCGGGCUGAGCCAGGCCCAGGCCGGGGGGGCCGCGCCCGGCAGGGGUGGAGCCGGCUGCAGAGCACUCCUCCCCCUCCCCGGAGCCGGGAUGGGCCCCGCGUGCCGAGGUGGGCUGCAGGGGCCAGCCCCACGCUGCGGCGGUGGCGGCACAUUCGGCCCCAGGGGGCCCAUGGACAUCAUGCGUGGAUGUUACAGGGGAAGGGGAGUUCCGCCAGUGCCCAUGAGAUCUAGACCGGGUCGGGGGCCGAUGCGGGGCGGCUCGGUCUGUAACUGGGGCUACCCUCCCGGGAGAGGGGCUGUCCCGGACUACUACUCGGACUACACGUACCCCUGA
Long non-coding RNA from Electrophorus electricus (electric eel), 1515 nucleotides. The record is from Ensembl. NCBI's taxonomy places the organism in Eukaryota, Metazoa, Chordata, Actinopteri, Gymnotiformes, Gymnotidae.